RNAcentral lists this transfer RNA (71 nucleotides) under Loxodonta africana (African savanna elephant). It matches the Rfam family "tRNA". Rfam says of the family: Transfer RNA (tRNA) molecules are approximately 80 nucleotides in length. Their secondary structure includes four short double-helical elements and three loops (D, anti-codon, and T loops). Lineage: Eukaryota; Metazoa; Chordata; Mammalia; Proboscidea; Elephantidae. The record is from Rfam by way of RNAcentral.
GCGGUGGUGGCUCAGUGGUAAAAUUCCUGCCUUCCAUGCAGGAGACCCAGGUUCAAUUCCCAGCCAGUGCA